GAUUUAUUGGGCGUAAAGGGAGUGUAGGCGGUCUUUUAAGUCUGAUGUGAAAGCCCACGGCUCAACCGUGGAGGGUCAUUGGAAACUGGAGGACUUGAGUGCAGAAGAGGAAAGUGGAAUUCCAUGUGUAGCGGUGAAAUGCGCAGAGAUAUGGAGGAACACCAGUGGCGAAGGCGACUUUCUGGUCUGUAACUGACGCUGAGGCGCGAAAGCGUGGGGAGCAAACAGGAUUAGAUACCCUGGUAG
RNAcentral lists this ribosomal RNA (246 nucleotides) under uncultured Isochrysis. RNAcentral describes it as "partial Bacterial small subunit ribosomal RNA". It matches the Rfam family "Bacterial small subunit ribosomal RNA", at positions 548 to 793 of the family's 1533-position model. The record is from RNAcentral. Lineage: Eukaryota; Haptophyta; Isochrysidales.